RNAcentral lists this microRNA precursor (62 nucleotides) under Fasciola hepatica (liver fluke). Its description in RNAcentral is "microRNA fhe-mir-31 precursor". Its record names the gene fhe-mir-31. The record is from miRBase by way of RNAcentral. Lineage: Eukaryota; Metazoa; Platyhelminthes; Trematoda; Plagiorchiida; Fasciolidae.
UGGCAAGAUUAUGGCGAAGCUGAGUGUUAAUAGUGUCCAGCUACACCAUAUUUUGCCCACGG